Sphaeramia orbicularis (orbiculate cardinalfish) is the source of this 1278-nucleotide long non-coding RNA. RefSeq lists it as uncharacterized. The record is from RefSeq and is a predicted model, not a curated record. Lineage: Eukaryota; Metazoa; Chordata; Actinopteri; Kurtiformes; Apogonidae. The transcript is spliced from 5 exons.
CCGCAGGAAGCAGAUUGUUCUACAGAAUGUGGAUUCAUUUGUUCAUGAGUUUGAAGAAGAGGAGGUGACACAGCGGGGACCUUCUGAAGAGGGCGACAGCACAACUAAUAUGUCGAUCACAGCGGCAGAUGAGAGUUUUUUAGAGGAAAAGUCUGUGUUUAAAAGGAGGAGAAGCAGAAGGAGGAGGAGGAGGUGGAGGUGCUCCGAAAAAAUCACUGCAAUGAUGCAACGGAGGGGAAUCGGUGCGGAGUUGGAUGGAGAUGGAGAUGGAGAGGCCAAAUUAAUUUCCAUCACAUGCACUUCACGUACCGCUGCCUUCCCUUCCCUUCCCUUCCCUUCCUCCCUCCUUCCCUCAAGUCCCUCCUUGCUUCCUUUUUUGUGCUGUAGUGUUUUCCCCCCCUUUUUUGCUCGUACUGUGUGACCUAAAAAUAGCAGCAUAGUUUUGAUCGUGCGCCAGAAAUAGACAGACGGGGAUCACUUGUAUAAAAAGGGAGGCGAUCCUGCUGCUGCACGAGCAAAAAAAAACUUGGACUGUCAGAGGAGAACAAAUGGAAGGAGGGAGGACUUCUUCUGCUCCUUCUUCAUCAUCUGUUGCAUUUCUGCUCACUAAAAUCUGUCUGUUUCUCUUUUAGAGCGCGGAGCGGCCGCGGCACGAGGACUGAAGUAGCAGGGAAGACGGAGCAGGAGGAGGAUCUGCUGCGGCGGCGGAUCCGGAUCCAGAGCCGGAUCGGAUCACCACAUGGGGGAAACCCGGAGCUGUCCAGCAGCAAUGGAGAGGAACACCGAACCGGGAUAGUCCUCUGAUCCGGAUCACACGGACCCCUCCUCUGAUGCUGAAGGAACGGUCAGGACAGGGACCCGGUUUGGAUCAGACUAAGGAGCAGAGACAGACCCUCAUCAUCAUCAUCAUCAUCAUCAUCAUCUCGAAGGCGUUGGAUACCAACAUCCUGAAGAGACGAUGCUGAAGAUGAUUCACCGCCUCUUAUACAUCAGUUAUCUUUUCACAGAUGCUCUCGGACAGGAUGAAUCUGAGCAGUUUCAACAAGUCGAUAGCUGGAGGUCUGUGGUGAACACACACAUUCGCAGACACGUUAACACACACAUAUGUCGAGCAGACACACUUUGACGAGUCACUUCUCACUCGUACACUGACGCAGACUGUUAACACUGACUCACACUCACACCUUUCAUUCACACACAUUCUCCUAAAAUAUUUCCACAUCUUAAUGAAUAGUAUUUAUAUCCUGCACAUGAUCCUGUCCCAGCAAGAACACACUA